AACGAACGCUGGCGGCGUGCCUAACACAUGCAAGUCGAGGGAGAAAAGGGGCUUCGGCUCCUGAGUAAACCGGCGCACGGGUGAGUAACACGUAGGUAACGUACCCUUGAGUCUGGGAUAACCAGUCGAAAGACUGGCUAAUACCAGAUACGACUGCGGGAGCUCAGGCUUCUGCAGUGAAAGAUGGCCUCUACUUGUAAGCUAUCACUCAUGGAUCGGCCUGCGCACCAUUAGCUAGUUGGUGAGGUAAAGGCUCACCAAGGCUGAGAUGGUUAGCUGGUCUGAGAGGAUGGCCAGCCACACUGGGGACUGAGACACGGCCCAGACUCCUACGGGAGUCAGCAGGU
RNAcentral lists this ribosomal RNA (347 nucleotides) under uncultured bacterium. Its description in RNAcentral is "bacterial SSU rRNA". It matches the Rfam family "Bacterial small subunit ribosomal RNA", at positions 29 to 355 of the family's 1533-position model. The record is from RNAcentral.